This 286-nucleotide long non-coding RNA is filed under the name Pan troglodytes (chimpanzee). RNAcentral describes it as "long non-coding RNA NONPTRT004874". The record is from RNAcentral. Lineage: Eukaryota; Metazoa; Chordata; Mammalia; Primates; Hominidae.
CAGCGCUGGGACGCUCCUGCCUCUUCUGCGGUCGCAUGUCCAUGUUUUGGGGCAGCUAAGGCACCUGGGGUCUGCUCUCGCAGUCACACAUUUGCUGUGUCACUUCUGCCUCAGUUAGAUGUUUUCUCUAGCAAACAGAUAUCAUUAUGUGGUUUUCCAAUUAUCACUUCCCAAAGGGAGCUGGUUAAUAUGGAUGAAGCUUUUUAACAUUUGGCUUUGAAGACAGGGUUAUAUGUAGUUGUAGCAGAGGGAGCCAAUAUCUCGGUAAUUGGCUAAGGUUUGCAGA